Molecule: ribosomal RNA, 305 nt
Filed under: uncultured bacterium
Lineage: Bacteria
Description: bacterial SSU rRNA
Rfam family: Bacterial small subunit ribosomal RNA
Source: RNAcentral
GCCUACGGGGGGCAGCAGUGAGGAAUAUUGGUCAAUGGGCGGGAGCCUGAACCAGCCAAGUCGCGUGAAGGAAGAAGGUACUUAGUAUUGUAAACUUCUUUUGUCGGGGAACAAAGGCGGAGACGCGUCUCCGGAUGAGUGUACCCGAAGAAAAAGCAUCGGCUAACUCCGUGCCAGCAGCCUCGGUAAUACGGAGGAUCCAAGCGUUAUCCGGAUUUAUUGGGUUUAAAGGGUGCGUAGGCGGAUUGAUAAGUUAGAGGUGAAAUGUCCGAGCUUAACUCGGGAACUGCCUCUAAUACUGUUGA